CCCGAUUCUUCCUCCUCUCUCACGCCGUUUACUCUCUGCUCUUCUUCUUCUCCUCAUCUUCUCCAACCGGCGCCCCUUUCUCUUCUUCCGCGUCAUCUUCCCUCCUCUGCCGUCGUCUCCUCGUCGCGGAGGUCCUCACCACGCCGAUUGUCACGAGAGCACCGCCGGCAGCAGUCCUUCUCUCCGCGAGCCUCACCAACACCAAGCUCUCUGGGCUAUCAGGCGGCCCGAUCCUCUUCUACUUUUCCCCUUGAGUCUCUGCCCUAGAUGCAGCCGGCGUCAUCGCAUCCGACCACAGUACCUGCAAUUUUGGGCGGCUAGCGUCGCCGCCAUCUCUUUCACCGGCUGCCACUUCUUCCUCUUCCAUCUGCCACCGUCGGAGAGCUGAGUACACAGGAGAGUAGGGUUGUUCUUCCGCGUAUCAGCAGUUGCGAGGGGUUACCACGCGUUGCCCCCUUCAAUUGUGCCGUGGCCAUCCGGUCAGCCACAAGGAGAUCCAUUGCUGCGGUGACCCCAUUUGUGCUUGGAUUUGUGCCACUGUCGUGUAUCGGUGAAUUCUGAGGCGGUGAGGGUUGUUGGACAGAUUUACCAUCGUCGGAAGAGCCACAAACUGCUGAUAAGGGUAGUAAUCUGAACCUGAUCAGAUUUAUUAGGUUGUUUCUUUUAUCAUGUUGGAUGUGUGUUAUGUUUCUUAUUGAAUGCUUAUAUCAAACUUGAUCUCCCUUAAUUAGAAUGCACGCACUUGGCUUUAAUUGUUUCAUGCACCCAACUUGUUUGAUAAAAUGUUCCGUAGUUAGGUUCUAAUUUUUGCAUGUCAUGUGUUCAUUUCACGUUCGGUGAAAUGUCUCUUUCAAUAGUUAGGUUCAAUCUGAUGCAUCUUAGUUUACUUAACUCUUGCUUUGUAUUGCUCUUUCAAUUGUUAAGUUUUAUGUCUUCAUUUAAAUUCAAUUAGGUUAAGUUAGAUUAGGUUUCUUUAAUGCUCUAAGUUUUGUUCCAUGCUUAGUUUCGUUAAUUACUUCAUGUUGACUAUUAUUUUCUGCAAUUGUAUUUUAUUCAUUAGGUUUGAUUUCAUAGUUGCUUUG
Molecule: long non-coding RNA, 1082 nt
Organism: Zingiber officinale
Lineage: Eukaryota; Viridiplantae; Streptophyta; Magnoliopsida; Zingiberales; Zingiberaceae
Exons: 2
Source: RefSeq, a predicted model, not a curated record